RNAcentral lists this long non-coding RNA (1833 nucleotides) under Homo sapiens (human). Its description in RNAcentral is "HSALNT0260226". Lineage: Eukaryota; Metazoa; Chordata; Mammalia; Primates; Hominidae. The record is from RNAcentral.
CCUGGGCGGGCGAGUGACUCAAGAUCCCGGAGUUCCCGCUCCUAGACACCAAACCUUCAGGUUUCCAGCCCCCUCCUCCCUCUGACCCAGGAGUCCGGGCCCCUAGUCCCUCCUUCCUCGGGUCCCAGACUUCUCCUCCUUCAGAACCAAGGAGUCUGAACUCUCAAAUCCCCAACCUUCCUCAAGACCCAAGGAUCGGGUCAGCAAACAGCCUAGUGCUCCCCGAAGGACACCAGCCCAAUGGAGAUGGUCUGCAGGAAUGGCCGGAUGGCAGGCGUGAACUGUGGAGAGACGCGGCUGCGUCACCCACCGCUCAAGAGAGGGAUGGGGACAGGGCAGGAGCGAGGCACAGGGAUGUGCGGGGAAGACACAUUCAUUCAGUAAACGUUUCAUGAGCUCCUACUGUGUGCUGGGCAUAGCUCUCGGCUGGUUCACGGACCUGAUGUUCUCAAAGGGAAAACAAAUGAUCAGCAGAUAAGCAAAGCCACGCGCAGUAUCAUGACAAGGAAUGACGAAUGGUUUGGAAAAAAAAAAAGGCAGUAGGUGGAGAGGGCACCAGUGAUGACUAGGGGUCAGGCUACUUAGCGGGUCUCGGAGGAGAGAUCUGACUGAAGCGAGGGGAGGGUGUUCCCUGCACAGGGAACAGAGAGCAUGAAGGCUUAAAGGUGAGCUCAUAGGAGGCUGAGGCAGGAGAAUCGCUUGAACCCAGGAGGCAGAGGUUGCAGUGAGUGGAGAUCACACCACUGCACUCCAGCCUGGGCGACAGAGCGAGACUCUGUCUCUAAAAAAAAAAAAAGGUGAGCUCAUGCUUGGUGCUUGACCUGGGUAGCGACAGUCAGGGGGCCAGUGUGGCUGGAGCAGAGUGAGCAGUGGGGAGAGGGGCAGGUGGUGACAUUGGAGAGGCAAAGGGGGCUCAUAUAGGGCCUGGGCAGAGGAAUUUGGAUUUCAUUCCCAGUGCGGGGUGGUGCCACUGGUAGGCUGUGAGGUGGGGAGUAGGAUGGUGCAGGGACUUCCUGAAAGUCAGAGAGAGGAUGGAUGGGGAGAGGAGGCAGCUGGAAGACAGGAACAGGGAGAUGGCCAGAGACAGCCCCCCAGGCACAGGGACCUGAGGCAGAAAGACAGUCAGAGAGGGAGACUGAGGCCUAGACAUAGGACCAGCCAGCCACCACGGGGGCAGGGAGAGACAGCGUCUGACAGAGCAGACAGGCAGUUAAGGAAAGACAGUGGGGUCCAGGUGCAGUGGCUCAUGCCUGUAAACCCAGUACUUUGGGAGGCCAAGGUGGGUGGAUCACUUGAGGUCAGGAGUUUGAGACCAGCCUGGCCAACAUGGUGAAACCCCAUCUCUACUAAACAAAAUACAAAAAAAAAAAAAAAAAAAAAUACAAUGGGGACACAGGAUUAGAGGAAAUGGAGCCAUAGGAGGCCAAGGCAAGGGAUUGGCGGGUUCUUCUGUUCACUCUGUACUGGCCAAGUUCCUACUGCAUGCUAGACACUGGGCUGGAGCAGUGACCAAGACAGGGGAGGCCUCUGCCCUCCCGGGGACGGACAUUUUAAAGGGGAGACUGCCCUGCACCAAGGCAGAGCUGGGCCCUGCCCCUGGCUGUGCGCCCAGUAGGCCAGAGGGCACCUGAUGCCUGGCUAUUGUGGCUGGGAUGCUGGUUUGGGCAGCCCCGGGAUCUCUUUCUCAUGACUCUAGGGUCACGGCUGGGACACAGGGAGGAGCUGGCUGGCCCAGCUGGGCUGAUCAAUACUUGUGGGUUCAGCCCUGGUGAGGGGAGGUUUCCAGGAAUGCCUGGGCUGGGUUGCUGAGGAUAGGCUAGCCUGAAGGGAAGC